GAUGAACGCUGGCGGCGUGCCUAAUACAUGCAAGUCGAGCGAACGGACGAGAAGCUUGCUUCUCUGAUGUUAGCGGCGGACGGGUGAGUAACACGUGGAUAACCUACCUAUAAGACUGGGAUAACUUCGGGAAACCGGAGCUAAUACCGGAUAAUAUUUUGAACCGCAUGGUUCAAAAGUGAAAGACGGUCUUGCUGUCACUUAUAGAUGGAUCCGCGCUGCAUUAGCUAGUUGGUAAGGUAACGGCUUACCAAGGCAACGAUGCAUAGCCGACCUGAGAGGGUGAUCGGCCACCUCGGAACGGACAACCGGUCCAAACCCCAAGGGGGGGCAGCAGUGGGGAAUUUUCCCAAAUGGGGAAAAGCCGGAGGGGGAAACGCCGGGGGGGGAAUAAAGGUUUUCGGAUCGUAAAACUCUGUUAUUGGGGAAAAAAAAAUGGGAAAGAAACUGUGCACAUCUUGACGGUACCAAAACAAAAAGCCACGGCUAACUACGG
Molecule: ribosomal RNA, 496 nt
Filed under: uncultured bacterium
Lineage: Bacteria
Description: partial 16S ribosomal RNA
Rfam family: Bacterial small subunit ribosomal RNA
Source: RNAcentral